AUAACUCUUAACGGCGGAUCACUUAGAUCAAGGGU
This 35-nucleotide ribosomal RNA is filed under the name Neomysis sp. KIZ1. RNAcentral describes it as "partial 5.8S ribosomal RNA". The record is from RNAcentral. Lineage: Eukaryota; Metazoa; Arthropoda; Malacostraca; Mysida; Mysidae.